Molecule: ribosomal RNA, 372 nt
Filed under: uncultured organism
Description: partial 16S ribosomal RNA
Rfam family: Bacterial small subunit ribosomal RNA
Source: RNAcentral
GUAGGUGGCAAGCGUUAUCCGGAAUUAUUGGGCGUAAAGCGCGCGCAGGCGGUUUCUUAAGUCUGAUGUGAAAGCCCACGGCUCAACCGUGGAGGGUCAUUGGAAACUGGGGAACUUGAGUGCAGAAGAGAAAAGCGGAAUUCCACGUGUAGCGGUGAAAUGCGUAGAGAUGUGGAGGAACACCAGUGGCGAAGGCGGCUUUUUGGUCUGUAACUGACGCUGAGGCGCGAAAGCGUGGGGAGCAAACAGGGAUUAGAUACCCUGGUAGUCCACGCCGUAAACGAUGAGUGCUAAGUGUUAGAGGGUUUCCGCCCCUUUAGUGCUGCAGCUAACGCAUUAAGCACUCCGCCUGGGGAUACGGUCGCAAGACUG